CCUACGGGAGGCAGCAGUGAGGAAUAUUGGUCAAUGGACGAGAGUCUGAACCAGCCAAGUAGCGUGAAGGAUGACUGCCUUAUGGGUUGUAAACUUCUUUUAUAUGGGAAUAAAAUGUUCCACGUGUGGGAUUUCGUAUGUACCAUAUGAAUUAGGAUCGGCUAACUUCGUGCCAGCAGCCGCGGUAAUGCGGAGGAUCCGAGCGUUAUCCGGAUUUAUUGGGUUUAAAGGGAGCGUAGGUGGAUUGUGAAGUCAGUUGUGAAGGUUUGCGGCGCAAACGUAAAAUUGCUGUUGAGACUGGCAGUCAUGAGUACAGUAGAGGUGGGCGGAAUGCGUGGUGUAGCGGUGAAAUGCUUAGAUAUCACGAAGAACUCCGAUUGCGAAGGCAGUUCACUGGACUGCAACUGACACUGAGGCUCGAAAGUGUGGGUAUCAAACAGGAUUAGAUACCCCUGUAGUC
Molecule: ribosomal RNA, 460 nt
Filed under: uncultured bacterium
Lineage: Bacteria
Description: partial 16S ribosomal RNA
Rfam family: Bacterial small subunit ribosomal RNA
Source: RNAcentral